AGAAAAAGAAAAAAAAAAAAGGGGAUGUGAGCAAGUUUUAGAAAGGAGGAACUAUGUCACAGCUGCUACAGUGUUUAGAAUCAGGUAUAGGGUACUCAAAUACAUACAUCCAAAGUCAGACACCAAAUCAUCAUAACCAUGUCUAAGCAUCCUUACAGGGCAGGGUGUUUUAGAUAAACUAAGGAAUCAAAAUGUCUUGGAUUCCUUUUCCUUUCCUUUCCUCACUUUAAUUUGAAGAGUGAGCAUUUUCUUCUUUCUUUUUUUGCUCCUUCUUUUGCCUUCUCCCAAAAUAUUGAUGCAUCCUACAUGCGGAUAUUAUUAUUUAUAGAAAAAUUAAAACCCACCGAACAGCAUGUGCAGAAACAGUUGAACACAAAGACUCUUGCCCCUAUAGAAUGGACAGAGUAAUAGGUCAACCAAUUUAUGAGGCAUAUUGAACAUGCUAAUUUACCCACACAGCAAUUCAUAUGUACAUUGCACAAGCUCAAAAUCACCCACCCUGAAAGAAAUUCUAACUAUAGCUCAAAAUAGAGAAGCAAAUAUUUAAUCAUAUCCUAAAUUCAUGGACAUAGGUGUACUUUAUUCACCUUUCAGAUAAAGUGUCUUGCUUCAUAUAUAGGUCAUGCAUGAAUCAACCAUGCAGUACGUUUCAUAUGUACAUCAGGAAACUGAUAUAUAUGCACAUUUUGAACAAAUACUGUCAUGAAUUUCUUUUUAAAAACCAAAGAGAAAAAAAAAAUUAUAAUAGGUGUUGAACAGACUUGCCAGCACUCUUUCAUAGUAAGCAUCUAUGAAUGCAUUGAACUUUUAAUAAAAUUUUCUUUUACAUCAUUGAUACACUCUCUAACAAAAGCCCCAAUCAAAUGAUUCGCCAUCCAACAUUAUCCUCUGAGUACGCAUUCAUUCCCCUCCAGCUCCAUGGGCAAAAUGGCACUUACUCCCAAAUGGGCAAUACCCAGUGAGUUCCCACUUGUUACAAAUUCUUGUCUUCCAAUUUGAUGGCUUAACAUUCCCUCCACUCGCACUUCCACUUGUCCCUCCGCCUCCUGUGACCCCUCCAUACCCUCCUGGCCCCAAACUUAUUGCCACGCUCUCCCUGUUCUUUGACUGCUCAUCAUGCAAAAAUGUACAAUUAUCUCCGUAUGGGCACCCCUCCUCUGUAUAAAACUUCUUGCAAUGUCUCCCUUUAUAAGACCUCUGUGAAUCCCCUCCAAAUCCCCCUAUAGAUGGAAUUUGAAACUCCUCUCUUAUCUCCAUUAUAUUCCCUUUAUCUUCCUCAUGUGCUGCUACAAUUUCCUGCCAGUUUGAAGGCGGGCGUCGAAGCUCCUCUAUGCUAUGGGCAAAGUUGCAGUUUGUAACGUAUGGGCAUGUGCCAGCCCGGAACUUGCAGCACAGUUUGGUCUUGAAAAACAUUUUCCCUAUGGAUUUCUUGGAAGUCAAUUCUUGGGAGUUGUUUUUGGAUUUCUUGUUUGGUGGUUCACUGCCAGAGCGCGUAUGGGAGGACUGAAAGUUCGAAUUGGAGGGAGUGCUAUCGGAAGGGCUGUCAAAGUUGUUCCAAGCAUGAUAAUCAUCUUCUGUGGCCCAAACAGAACUAGAAUCAGUAGAAUUUGGAAACCAAUUCUCAGGUCCUGUUCCAGGAAUUACAUGGACAACGUUUGCACUGGAAAAAUCUCUACCAUAAUCCAUCUUCUAACCAAAACCCACUAACCAAAGAUAUUAAAGUUGUGGAAUUUGGAGAUAAAGCUCUAACUACUAAUCAAAUGAUAGUAGAGUAUAAACCGGGACACCCCUGAACUCAAAUUGAUUGAAUUGAGAAGAAAUGAAGUAGCUAAAAUAUGGAAAGUGGUUAUUUUAAUAAAAUCUUCAAGGAUUGAAUCAGACAGAACAUUAAAAAGGGUAUCAAAAGGAGCGGAAAUUUGAAAAUCUAAGAUUUAAUUAUAAAACAAAACCCUAACAGAUUAUCAAAGAAAGAAACAGAACACACAGCCACCAGAAUUCAUUGAGAAUUACAGUGACCAAGUAAAAAUCUCAAAAAGUUAGGAAAUGGGUUUUCAAUAAACACAUCUAUAGGAAAAUUUUCAUAGAAAGGAUUAAACUUUCCUUUUCCGUUUUAAGGAACAAAUACAACAACAAACAACAGAUACAAAGUAUUAAAGAUAUACAACCUGAAAUUUAGUAAACAAAUAGAAAAAAGAUAAGAUUUAGAUCUGGUACCUUGAUAUUUAAAGCACAAUCUAGAAUCUAAAAACCACUGAAAUAGAUAGAUAAUAAGUGAGCAGAUAUGGAAAUUUUGAGAGGUUAAAGUGAAAACAUGAUAAAUCGAAAUGAUGAGAUAUGGUUUGGUACAAAGGAGUAGAUUUUCCAAACUUACAAACAAACCCAGUGCCUGUUCUCGUAACUCGUUAGAAAUGGGUUACCCUGCCUGCCAUCAAAGGAGCAACGACGAGAGUUUUAAUUCCUACGUUUUUUU
Molecule: unclassified non-coding RNA, 2470 nt
Filed under: Hevea brasiliensis (rubber tree)
Lineage: Eukaryota; Viridiplantae; Streptophyta; Magnoliopsida; Malpighiales; Euphorbiaceae
Source: RNAcentral